This 450-nucleotide ribosomal RNA is filed under the name uncultured bacterium. RNAcentral describes it as "partial 16S ribosomal RNA". It matches the Rfam family "Bacterial small subunit ribosomal RNA", at positions 354 to 796 of the family's 1533-position model. The record is from RNAcentral.
GUGGGGAAUCUUCCGCAAUGGACGAAAGUCUGACGGAGCAACGCCGCGUGAGUGAUGAAGGUUUUCGGACUGUAAAGCUCUGUUGUUUAGGACGAAAGUGCCUGUUGCAAAUAGUUACAGGUAUUGACGGUACUGAACGAGGAAGCCACGGCUAACUACGUGCCAGCAGCCGCGGUAAUACGUAGGUGGCAAGUGUUGUCCGGAAUUAUUGGGCGUAAAGAGCAUGUAGGCGGGAAUCUAAGUCUGUUGUGGAAAUGCGGGGCUCAACCCCGUAUUGCGAUGGAAACUGGGUUUCUUGAGUGCAGGAGAGGAAAGGGGAAUUCCCAGUGUAGCGGUGAAAUGCGUAGAUAUUGGGAGGAACACCAGUGGCGAAGGCGCCUUUCUGGACUGUGUCUGACGCUGAGAUGCGAAAGCCAGGGUAGCGAACGGGAUUAGAAACCCCGGUAGUCC